Molecule: ribosomal RNA, 253 nt
Filed under: uncultured bacterium
Lineage: Bacteria
Description: partial 16S ribosomal RNA
Rfam family: Bacterial small subunit ribosomal RNA
Source: RNAcentral
UACGUAGGGACCGAGCGUUGUCCGGAAUCAUUGGGCGUAAAGAGCGUGUAGGCGGCCACUUAAGUCCUGCGUGAAAUCUUGCGGCUCAACCGCAAGCGGUCGUGGGAAACUGGGUGGCUAGAGUGCGGGAGAGGAGAGUGGAAUUCCUGGUGUAGCGGUGGAAUGCGCAGAUAUCAGGAAGAACACCCGUGGCGAAGGCGGCUCUCUAGUACGGUACUGACGCUGAGACGCGAAAGCGUGGGGAGCGAACAGG